CCUACGGGAGGCAGCAGUGGGGAAUCUUGCGCAAUGGGCGAAAGCCUGACGCAGCAACGCCGCGUGCGGGAAGAAGGCUUUCGGGCUGUAAACCGCUUUCAGCAGGAACGAAAAUGACGGUACCUGCAGAAGAAGGAGCGGCCAACUAUGUGCCAGCAGCCGCGGUGAUACAUAGGCUUCAAGCGUUGUCCGGAUUUAUUGGGCGUAAAGAGUUCGUAGGCGGUCGAGUAAGUCGGGUGUGAAAAUUCUGGGCUCAACCCAGAGACGCCACCCGAUACUGCUUGACUUGAGUUCGAUAGGGGAGUGGGGAAUUCCUAGUGUAGCGGUGAAAUGCGCAGAUAUUAGGAGGAACACCGGUGGCGAAGGCGCCACUCUGGAUCGAUACUGACGCUGAGGAACGAAAGCAUGGGUAGCAAACAGGAUUAGAUACCCUGGUAGUCCAUGCCGUAAACGGUGGGCACUAGGUGUGGGUUUCUAUUAACGAAAUCCGCGCCGUCGCUAACGCAUUAAGUGCCCCGCCUGGGGAGUACGGUCGCAAGACUAAAACGUUAAGGAAUUGAACGGU
Molecule: ribosomal RNA, 565 nt
Filed under: uncultured bacterium
Lineage: Bacteria
Description: bacterial SSU rRNA
Rfam family: Bacterial small subunit ribosomal RNA
Source: RNAcentral